Long non-coding RNA from Mangifera indica (mango), 341 nucleotides. RefSeq lists it as uncharacterized. The transcript has 2 exons. The record is from RefSeq and is a predicted model, not a curated record. Lineage: Eukaryota; Viridiplantae; Streptophyta; Magnoliopsida; Sapindales; Anacardiaceae.
CGACCGACCAACAGACGACGAUGAGAGACAAUAUCGGACUGGGAAUCGAACAGAAAUGGGUUUCUGCAGCUUUGUUCCAUCAAAGUCAAUCCUAUUAUUUGGAUUGGUGGUUUUAUUGUUCUCUUAGCUUUUUGUAAACCCUGGUCGCUAAUAUGGACUAUGGCCAAGGUUGGCUCCUAAUUUUUUUUUUAAAAAAAUUAUGAUGUAAAGGAACCUUUGAAUUCUUGACAUGAUAUAGAGGCAAUGUUUUAUGUAUAAUUACUGGUAUUUUUAUUGGUUAAUCAAUCAUUCCUUAUAUUUUAAGGAUGCUUUAUCAUAUGAAUAAUAGCUAUUAAGACGUA